Molecule: ribosomal RNA, 308 nt
Filed under: uncultured Gammaproteobacteria bacterium
Lineage: Bacteria; Pseudomonadati; Pseudomonadota; Gammaproteobacteria
Description: bacterial SSU rRNA
Rfam family: Bacterial small subunit ribosomal RNA
Source: RNAcentral
AUUGAACGCUGGCGGCAGGCUUAACACAUGCAAGUCGAGCGGAAACGAAGAGGAGCUUGCUCCUUUGGCGUCGAGCGGCGGACGGGUGAGUAAUGCUUGGGAAUAUGCCUUUUGGUGGGGGACAACGAGUUGGAAACGACUAGCUAAUACUGCACAAUGUUUACGGACCAAAGCGGGGACCUUCGGGGCCUCGUGCCAAAAGAUUAGCCCAAGUGAGAUUAGCUAGUUGGUAAGUAAUGGCUUACCAAGGCGACGAUACUCUAGCUGGUUUGAGAGGUAUGAUCAGCCACACUGGGACUGAGACACGG